Bombus terrestris (buff-tailed bumblebee) is the source of this 395-nucleotide long non-coding RNA. RefSeq lists it as uncharacterized. NCBI's taxonomy places the organism in Eukaryota, Metazoa, Arthropoda, Insecta, Hymenoptera, Apidae. The transcript has 2 exons. The record is from RefSeq and is a predicted model, not a curated record.
UAGGAAACACUUGGGAGGGUAAGAGCACGCUGUGUUCACUUUCGACGGUUGGGUGACACGUGUUACUUUCGAACUUCACUGGGCACUAGAGACACGUCUGCACGCUUCGGCACUCAACAGCGAACUGUUCCAGAGCGAAUGACAAUCAAUUAUACGUCGCCUGUAUAUCACCGGCUCGUGUUCCUUCAGCAAGUUAUGUCGCAUGGGGACAUACACAGUUGACAAAUCUCUGGGGGAAAAUCCUUUAUGAUUUGGAAACUCAGGAAAAUAUGGUGGUCACCGAUAUCGAUUUGAAAGUUGUUGAGGAAGUAAGGGCUCAGAUAUCUACAUUUUCUCAAAGACGUACGGAUUUGUACGACACUGUCUAUAAAAAGGAGUAACUCUACACUGAAACA